GGCGGGUUGCAGGUGUGUUUUCUGUGGGCCCGUGCGUCUGUUCCGCGUCUCGCUGGCCCUUGCGAGCUUCCUGGGUCUCUGCUUGGCUCGCGCAACCACCUGGCAAUCGAUUUAAGGGAAAAGAAUCCUCGGCGGAGAACGCAGCGUGAUUUCUCAAAAAGGACCACACGGAGGUAGAGGGAGUGACUCCUGAGCUACUGAUAGCAAAACUCCACGAAUGUACCUGUAUUCACUGACAGCUCAUCUUAGCUUUCUGCAUGAAGGAAGCCCACAUACCAUGAGUAAUCAGGAGGUGUCUUGGUAAGAGGGAUUUAGGAAAGGCUGACUAUAGGAUUUUAGCAUCACAUACUUGGUAAUAUGAGACUAUUAUACUAUAUAUAUUUUUAAAAUGAAUUAAUUAAUUUAUUUUUCGCUGCAUUGGGUCUUUGUUGCUGCACGUGGGCUUUUAGUUGCGUCAAGCGGGGGCUACUCUUUGUUGCGGUGCGCGGGCUUCUCACUGCGGUGGCUUCUCAUUGCAGGGCACGGGCUCUAGGCACGUGGCUUCAGUAGUUGCGGCACGUGGGCUCAGUAGUUGUAGCUCGCAGGCUCUAGAACGCAGGCUCAGUAGUUGUGGCGCAUGGGCUAAGCUGCUCUGCGGCAUGUGGGAUCUUCCCGGACCAGGGCUCAAACCCGUGUCCCCUGCAUUGGCAGGUGGAUUCUUAAACCACUGCACCACCAGGGAAGCCCCUAUACUAGAUAUUAUACUAGAGAAUAGUGUUUAUAUAUUAGAUACGUAUUAAGUUAUUCCUAAUCAUAGUUAAUAGGUAACAGUAGAUAAUGCCAGAUAGCAUAUUAAGUAACAUACUGUUAUAUAGUCCACAUCCUGUAUUUUGUUCUGUUUUUCAUUGGAAGUCUUCAUAACUGGUUUUCCCCUCAGUUCAAAGUCCAAUUUUACACCCAGCUCACAGAUACAGAGAACAGAUUGGUGGUUGCCAGAGACAGGGUGUGGCGGGGGUGGGUGAAAUGGAUGAAAGUGGUUAAAAGGUUCAAACUUGGAAUUAUAGGGUAAAUAAAUCAUGGAAAUAUAGUGUACAUCAU
Molecule: long non-coding RNA, 1077 nt
Organism: Balaenoptera ricei (Rice's whale)
Lineage: Eukaryota; Metazoa; Chordata; Mammalia; Artiodactyla; Balaenopteridae
Exons: 3
Source: RefSeq, a predicted model, not a curated record